RNAcentral lists this ribosomal RNA (897 nucleotides) under Cryphonectria parasitica (chestnut blight fungus). RNAcentral's name for it is "LSU rRNA". It matches the Rfam family "Eukaryotic large subunit ribosomal RNA", at positions 38 to 965 of the family's 3401-position model. Lineage: Eukaryota; Fungi; Ascomycota; Sordariomycetes; Diaporthales; Cryphonectriaceae. The record is from RNAcentral.
GCAUAUCAAUAAGCGGAGGAAAAGAAACCAACAGGGAUUGCCCUAGUAACGGCGAGUGAAGCGGCRACAGCUCAAAUUUGAAAUCUGGCUUCGGCCCGAGUUGUAAUUUGCAGAGGAUGUUUCUGGCGCGGUGCCUUCCGAGUUCCCUGGAACGGGACGCCACAGAGGGUGAGAGCCCCGUAUGGUUGGACACCAAGCCUGUGUGAAACUCCUUCGACGAGUCGAGUAGUUUGGGAAUGCUGCUCAAAAUGGGAGGUAAAUCUCUUCUAAAGCUAAAUACCGGCCAGAGACCGAUAGCGCACAAGUAGAGUGAUCGAAAGAUGAAAAGCACCUUGAAAAGGGGGUUAAACAGUACGUGAAAUUGUUGAAAGGGAAGCGCUUGUGACCAGACUUGCGCCGGGCGGUUCAUCCGGGGUUCUCCCCGGUGCACUCCGCCCGGCUCAGGCCAGCAUCGGUUUUCGUUGGGGGAUAAGAACGGCAGGAACGUGGCCCUCCUUCGGGUGGGUGUUAUAGCCUGCCGUACGAUACCCUGACGGGGACCGAGGUUCGCGCUCCGCAAGGAUGCUGGCGUAAUGGUCAUCAGCGACCCGUCUUGAAACACGGACCAAGGAGUCGUCCAUUAGAGCGAGCGUUUGGGUGUCAAACCCGCACGCGUAAUGAAAGUGAAAUUAGGUGAGAGCUUCGGCGCAUCAUCGACCGAUCCUGAUGUUCUCGGAUGGAUUUGAGUAAGAGUUUUAACGGACGGACCCGAAAGACAGUGAACUAUGCUUGUAUAGGGUGAAGCCAGAGGAAACUCUGGUGGAGGCUCGCAGCGGUUCUGACGUGCAAAUCGAUCGUCAAAUAUGAGCAUGGGGGCGAAAGACUAAUCGAACUGUCUAGUAGCUGGUUACCGCCGAA